Mastomys coucha (southern multimammate mouse) is the source of this 106-nucleotide small nuclear RNA. The record is from RefSeq and is a predicted model, not a curated record. NCBI's taxonomy places the organism in Eukaryota, Metazoa, Chordata, Mammalia, Rodentia, Muridae.
GUGCUCGCUUUGGAAGCAUAUAUACUAAAACUGGAACCACACAGAGAAGAUUAGAAUGGCUCCUGUUUAAGAUUGGAAAAAAAAUUAUGAAGUGUUCUAUAUUUAA